This 979-nucleotide ribosomal RNA is filed under the name Bacillus sp. (in: firmicutes). Its description in RNAcentral is "bacterial SSU rRNA". It matches the Rfam family "Bacterial small subunit ribosomal RNA", at positions 125 to 1074 of the family's 1533-position model. Lineage: Bacteria; Bacillati; Bacillota; Bacilli; Caryophanales; Bacillaceae. The record is from RNAcentral.
CCUGCCUGUAAGACUGGGAUAACUCCGGGAAACCGGGGCUAAUACCGGAUAACAUCUUCCUCUGCAUAGAGGAGGAUUAAAAGAUGGCUUCGGCUAUCACUUACACAUGGGCCCGCGGCGCAGUAGCUAUUUGGUGGGGUAAGAGCCUACCAAGGCGACGAUGCGUAGCCGACCUGACAGGGUGAUCGGCCACACUGGGACUGACACACAGCCCAGACUCCUACGGGAGGCAGCGCUAGGGAAUCUUCGGCAAUGGACGAAAGUCUGACCGAGCAACGCCCCGUGAGUGAGGAAGGCCUUCCGGUCGUAAAGCUCUGUUGUUAGGGAAGAACAAGUACCGUUCAAACAGGGCGGUACCUUGACGGUACCUAACCAGAAAGCCACGGCUAACUACGUGCCAGCAGCCGCGGUAAUACUUAGGUGGCAAGCGUUGUCCGGAAUUAUUGGGCGUAAAGCGCGCGCACGCGGUCUCUUAAGUCUGAUGUGAAAGCCCACGGCUCAACCGUGGAGGGUCAUUGUAAACUGGGGGACUUGAGUACUGGAGACGAGAGUGGAAUUCCAUGUGUAGCGGUGAAAUGCGUAGAUAUAUGGAGGAACACCAGUGGCGAAAGGCGGCUCUCUGGCCAGUAACUGACGCUGAGGCGCGAAAGCGUGGGCGAGCAAACAGGAUUAGAUACCCUGGUAGUCCACGCCCUAAACGAUGAGUGCUAGGUGUUGGGGGGUUCCACCCUCACUGCUGACGUUAACACAUUAAGCACUCCGCCUGGGGAGUACGCACCGCGACGUUGAAACUCAAAGGAAUUGACGGGGGGCCCGCACAAGCAGUGGAGCAUGUUGGUUUAAUUCUGAGCCACGCGAAAAACCCUUACAGGUCGUGACAUUCCUUUCGCCACUUCCAGAGAUGGGAAGCUUCCCCUUCGGCGCGAACCAGGUGACAGGGUGGUGCAUGGUUUGUCGCUCACCUCGNGGUCCUGNCAUG